GUAUGACCUAGAACAGCAAAAAGAUAUUUCUUUAAUACAUAGUAUGUUAAAAGUCUGGAAACAAAUAAAAUCUGUACGUAGACAGCAAGAAUAUACAAGUACACCUGUAAAAUUACAGUUUCAAAAAAGGCUGACCAAGAAAAAUAAUGAGGAUGAAUAUAAGGUAGGAUUAGCACAAGAUGCUGAAAAAGGCAGAUGGCUGGAAGGAGAAGAUAAUAUUGAUAACCCUGACAAUAUUUCAGAGACCUGGGGAAAACAGAAGUUCCUCCAUUGGUGAGUUCAACACAACUUGCAGAGAUAAAGGAACCUCUUUUCAUACCACAUCUCACUUUGACUGCAGAAAUAACAGCAGUGUC
This 356-nucleotide long non-coding RNA is filed under the name Gopherus evgoodei (Goodes thornscrub tortoise). RNAcentral's name for it is "lncRNA (ENSGEVG00005019086.1)". The record is from RNAcentral. Lineage: Eukaryota; Metazoa; Chordata; Testudines; Testudinidae.